GGGCGUUGACCCGAGCCCGGACUGCUCACUCUUCCUCUCCGCCUGCCUCCAUCAUCUCCGACGUGGUGACGCCGAUUCUGGCCACCACUUGCUACAAAAAACACCACCAAAUCAUUCCCCUCAUUCUUCUCUUCAAAACCCAGUCUAUUGAUCUCAAUUGCAACGCGAUUCGGUGGUGAUCGGUCGAAGGGUAGCUCGACUGUGUUUGCCGAUUUCCUGCGUUUUUCCAACGAGUUCAUCGGACACCGAUGGUAAGUCUCAGCUCGCCUUUCUCUUCUCUUCAUCUAUGUGUCUUUGUUUCUUAAAAUCGAACCUUAAUCUCAAAAUCCCUUUUUCUCUGCCUCUUUCUGGGUUCCGGGUUCCUAGCUUCGGCGACGUAGUUCAGUGGUUUCCGACGAGCGCUUCGAGUUUUGGUGAGUCCUUAAAGCCUUGCGGGGAGUCCAGUUGCCUUGGAGUGACUUGUGGAGCUGCAACCAUUGAACUGGACCAAGGUAGAAGCUUGGUGCGUUUUGGCUAGAGGGGACCCGAGGUGGUGUGGUGCUGAUUCGGUGGAGGUGGCGCCUAAGGCAGCAGCUGGGGAUGUUUGGAAGUCCUCCAUGUUGAGGUUUGGCAAGGAGGAGCUUCUAGUUUUCGAAGAAGAACAAAUUGAAGGUAAGCUUGAUGUUUCAGCUUCUGUGUUAUGUUGUAGUGAGGUUUGAGUACGGGUUAGGUGUUUUGGUGUUGUUGCUCGGUGUUAUUUGGAGAUGGUUAAUGUCUGUUUCAUUGUUGUGGUUGAUAUUUGUCGAUAACUUGUUGAUAGGAGUUUAUGGGGAGGUUAUGGCAAAAUUCCGGCAAGUCGCCGGAAUCCGGCAAGAGAGUCCGGCGAGGGCAGAAUCAGGCAAAGACUAUUGAGGUAGUUAUCGACAUUUUUCCAUGCUGUUGUGUAUCGUUUCAGUAAUAUGAAAGUUUGUAGGUUGUAGUCGGAAAUCUUUCUAAGUGAGGAGAGUUUCUAUUUUAGGAAACUUUAUAUUUAUGAGAAACCCUUUUUGGGUGCCCUUAGUAAAUUAGUUGAUGUGUUAAAGGCAUGGAAAUUGUUUGUGACUUCGAUUGCCGGUUAAGGUUUGGUUUGGAACCGAAUAAGUUUUAGAUGCGAAGUUAUUAGAAAAUGAUUCUAAAUAUCUAUUGGUCAACCAUGGGUCAAACUUGGUCAAUUCUAGUCAACCUAGGAAAUCCUAGUCAAACUAGGAAGAAGUCGAUUCGUUAAUGUUGAUGGAGUCCGGUCUGACCAAUUUAUUCUUCUGUUUAUCGUCAGUCGUGGGAUUGGUUAGAGAGUGUGAUUAAUUAGAGGCAGCGCUCGAGGAGUAUUCCGGACAUUGGAAGGUUUAAGCCUAAUACUGUGAGUGGACUUUUGUUUUAAAUAAUAUGCAUGCUAUGGUUCAUGAAUGAACAAUUAAUUUCGUGGAGCAUUUUGACGUCAUUUUAAUUUUUGACAAUCUUAUUUCUCUUGGAGAGUUACCGAAAAUGGGAUUUUCGGUGGAUAUAAAUAUGUAAUUAUGAGAGAGUAUGUAUAUAACAGCUAGCUAGCCCUAUGUGUCUGUCCACCUUAAUGGCAUAGCAUAUAGCCGCAUUAUGGUGUGACGUGAGCGUUGGACGCGAGCGUAGUAGUCUUAUAUGAGUGUUUAAUUCAUAUAGGGGGUAUGGGCACAUAUUUAUACACCCGUCUGUCCACCUUAAUGGCGUAGUGUAGCACCGCAUUAAGGCGUGACGUGAGCGUUGAACGCGAGCGUAGUAGCCCUAUAUAGACCCAUGAAUUUAUAUAGGGAGUAUGGACGUGUGUAAAUACAUACAUAUAUUAUAGAGCCUAAGAGGCUCGAUAUUUAUGAGAUAAAAGUUUUAUCGCUUGCAGCAUGCAUUCGAUUUUCCUUAAAAAUUGUUUUGGGGAAACAUAAAUAUUUUAUUUAUUAAUUUAUUUUUGUCCACUCACUCUAACGUUUUCAAAUGUUUUCCCCUGGGCCCUUCGUUCUUAAAAAUGCCCAGUUUGCAGGAUUGCAUAGUUGAGGUCGGGCGUACAUAGAGAAGAGGCAUAGUCAAUAGUAUAGUUUCCGCUCAUUUCUAUAUUUCUAGUUCUUUUCCUCUCAAUUAGAAUUGCUCUGAACUGUGAUUAUUGCUUGUGGGAUUAUUCUUAUUAAGGUUGGAUUGGGAUUAUCAGAAGUGUGUGCAGGUUUUAUUAGGAAGGGUUGUCCAUUCAUUUCUAUAUUUCUAGUUCUUUUCCUCUCAAUUAGAAUUGCUCUGAACUGUGAUUAUUGCUUGUGGGAUUAUUCUUAUUAAGGUUGGAUUGGGAUUAUCAGAAGUGUGUGCAGGUUUUAUUAGGAAGGGUUGUCCAUUUUCAAGGGAGGUUAAGCCGAAUUUUUCGGUAAACUUUCCUUGGAGGUGGUCCCCGCAGGAUUUACUUCGGAUUUCAGGGUGAAAUUCGGGGUGGGUCUUGACAAGGGGUCAGGUUCCAUUCUCUUGGGAAUGUUACUUCAUGCCAUUUCGUGACAUUUUUUCUUGAGAAUUAUUUUUUGGGUUGGUGAGAACAGAUGUAGUAAUUCCAGGGCUGUUUAGAAACCUGGUAUUAGGGGUUACAUUUGAACUCAUCAACUUAUAAUAGAUUCGAUAAUCUAUCGCUAGUUCCAUCAUUCCUUUUUUCAUAGAAAUCUCAUCUGUCUUGAUUCUCAGUUUAAGACAGUGAGCAGCAUCCCUAAGAUGCGUUGUGAAGUUUGGAAAAACAUUAAAAUAUGCAACUUGAUUGCACAAAGAAGCUUCUACUGUUCCUAACAGACUUUUCUUGAAAUCUGUUAUUCUAUCGUCUUUUAGGACACAUAGGACAGAACAGUCAAUAUCAUCUCUAGCUAAGAGCUUUAUUCCUACCUGUACUGCACCUAUAUGCAUAUAGGAAUAUUUUUUCUGGAAAGCUUCACUUACUUCUUUUGGAGUUAUCACCCUGAUAUCUGUUUCUCCACCUGUGGCUAGAACUGUUAAUUCAAGAAUCUUGAAUCUGUGAGAAUCCAUAAUAAAGGAUCCUUUCUUAUAUAUCUCAUUGAACCUAAAUCUAG
Molecule: long non-coding RNA, 3074 nt
Filed under: Fragaria vesca (wild strawberry)
Lineage: Eukaryota; Viridiplantae; Streptophyta; Magnoliopsida; Rosales; Rosaceae
Description: long non-coding RNA (FVES_LNC000724)
Source: RNAcentral